Molecule: long non-coding RNA, 263 nt
Organism: Helianthus annuus (common sunflower)
Lineage: Eukaryota; Viridiplantae; Streptophyta; Magnoliopsida; Asterales; Asteraceae
Exons: 3
Source: RefSeq, a predicted model, not a curated record
AUCAAUUACAUUUUUAAAUGAAUUCGAUGCAUGCAUAUAUUUUAUUACUUUUGGAAAAUUUUAACUUUCAGGUGUAUACAUUUGGUCAUACAUUCAGGGCAGAAAAUUCUAACACAUCUAGACAUUUAGCUGAAUUCUGGAUGAUUGAACCUGAGCUUGCAUUUGCGGACCUAAAUGAUGACAUGGCAUGUGCCACUGCCUAUCUCCAGUAUGUCGUGAAACAUGUUCUUGAAAAUUGCAAGGAAUAUAUGGAUUUCUUCAAG